Molecule: long non-coding RNA, 1691 nt
Organism: Clupea harengus (Atlantic herring)
Lineage: Eukaryota; Metazoa; Chordata; Actinopteri; Clupeiformes; Clupeidae
Source: Ensembl
GCUAGGGGUGGGAGGAGCCUGUUUGUUGGGCCACGGAGACUGAUCAGAUCUACUAGACGGAGAGCAUUAGCGACACACACACACACACACACACGGCCCGUUUGUGCUGCUGUCGGUUAGUUGAGUUCACAGGCUCCGUCCAUGCCCAUGUGUGUUUGCCCUGACUGGCUCUCUCUUGGAGUGCACACACACUCAUAGAGCCUCACACACACACACACACACACAGGAAUAAUGGUGUUCAUCGGGAUCUCGCUCAAGUCCUUUAUUAAAUACUUCAAGAGGAAAGGUAAGAACCUGUGCCAGACAGCUGUCAUGGAGCGUGUGGUGUGUGUGUGUGUGUGUGUGUGUGUGUGUGUGUGUGUUAGAAGUGUGUGUGAGUGACUUCUCCAUUAGAGGUGUCACCAUUUAACAGUACAGUUUGUGUGUGUGUGUGUGUGUGUAGGUCUGAGGUGGAAUAGUGUAUGUGUGUGUGUGUGUUAGUGUUGUGUUUUUGUCAGGUUUUCAGGUCUUAGGUGGUGGAGUAGUGUGUGUGUGUGUAGGUCUGAUGUGGAGUAGUGUGUGUGUCUGUGUGUGUCUGAGGUGGAGUAGUAGUGACUUCAGAACUUCCUUGUGUGUGUGUGAGAGAGAGAGAGGGGGAGAGAGGGAGAAACAGAGAGGAGAAAGAGAGAGAAUGAGAGAAAGAGGGAGAGAGAGAGAGAGCACACCUGUUUGCUGUGUGUUGUAUGUAUCAGUCAGUAAUGGUCAUAUCAGAUAUAAACACAUCAGCAGUAAUGACUAUUUAUUUAUUUAUUUAUUUAUUUAUUUAUUGUGUUCAGCGAAACUUAGUUGGAUUUCAAACAAAGACAGUUCUGUCAGCUUAUCUCUUGUCUGCUUCUGAAUCAUAGAUAACAAGAUCCCAAGGUCCUGACACACACACACACACACACACACACACACACCUAGACAGACACACCUGUAUGACUCAGAGAAGUGUGUGUGUGUGAUCUUUGAUAGCGGAAGUAGAAGAAACAUUGGCAUCACACACACAGCCCACAUGCACACACUCAAACACACACACAUGCCCUCACACUGAUUGUAAUCAACGUUAAGAGGAAGUGUAUGAGUUUUAUUGGAUACUUUAGAACACUCAGUUUUCUGUCAGUUUUGAAAAGGAUGAGGUCCUCAUACACACACACACACACACACACAGUUUUGAAAAGGAUGAGGUCCACAGCACAAGUGUGUCACGUCAUUGUACCCUUCUGAUCGACUGACCAUGAAUAGUUUGGAACACUGCAAUGAAAUAUGAUAACAUGUCGUCAUGACUACACACAUCAUAGCAAUUAUGUGUGUUUGUAACUCCUUCAACUCUUUCAGCAAGGGACAAGUAAGAUGAAAUAAAUAAACUAGCAGAGCACAUGUAAUGGGUUUGGAAAUGUAACUGCGUGUGUGUGUGUGUGUGUGUGUGUGUGUGUGUGUGUGUGUGUGUGUGUGUGAUGGAGAUGUUACAGGUCCCAUGCAUCCUUUUACAGACAGACAAACAAACGACAUCGAAACCAUACACCUCCUUGACAGACACAGAGGGGUUUGGUCUGAUAAUGUUAGGUGCCCCGUCACCUGUGUGUGUGUGUGUGUGUGUGUGUGAGAGAGUGUGUGUGUGAGUGUGUGUGUGUCACACUGCACUCGUGUCCCCUCUGACCAGUGUGUUUUUG